ACUAGUUUCUUAAUUAGGCUCAAUAAGGCAACUAAAUUAAUAAAAGAGAGCAACAGUGGGCAGCCCAAAUAAAUAAAAGGAAUUGGGCCCAAUCAAAUAACUAUGGCAGCCCACUUCUAAAAUCACCAGCCUAAUCAAUUUAAAUAUGCAGCCCACAUAACAAAAAUAAGGCUGGGCCCAAAAGAACCCCAGCCCAAAAGGGACGGCCCAUCAUCUUCUCUCUUCAACUCGUCUCUCUUUUUCCCAAAAUCAGAAAACUCGUUCCUAUGGCUCGUUCCAUCUUCCGUCAAGAAUUCCGCCGCCGCGCUUCUGAAAUUUGGCGAGGCCGGUGCCGAUCGUCGUUCCGCCUGAGUCCGACACUCCUCACACUUCUCUUUUCUUCUCUCAAUAUUAUGAAGAAACCCAAAAGAAAAACCCUAAUUUUUUCCCAAAAUCAGAAAUCGUCACCGCCGCGGUUCUCCGGCCGUCCCAGCCGCCGGCGAGCGGUUGCUCCGGAUUCUGGCGCUGCUCUGCUUCCUCGGACCCUCUUCUCACUCACGCGCUCACAAUCGAGGCAGAGGUCGAGUCCUAGUUCUCUCGGCUCAGGCAAAAUCACCGCCGCCGCCUCCGAACUUUCGGCUAGUGGUCGUCACCUCCCGCUCUCUCGUUAUUCCUCUCCCUCAACUCUCAAUAAUAGAUUCACCCUCACACAGAAAGAGAACAAAGGCCGAGCCCUAGCUCUUCCUUCUUCCGACACGGUUAACCACCGCCGCGCCUGAAAGGCGGAGCAGUCUCUCAUAGCUCUAUCGACCCGUGUUGCUUUUCAACACCAUCUCCGUUCUCGGCCCAAACCUCUCAAGUGCCAUCGGAGGAAGUCUCCUCCACCUUGACGAACAGGGCAGCCUGCCUCCGCCUGAUCUCGUCUACCUCAUAGACAAAGGUUCGGCCCUAACUCUUAGUAUAUAAUCGUGAAGAAGCAAGCCAUGAUUUCUAGUUUGGUGUCAAUCAGUUCUCAUACAUCUCUUGGUUCCUAUAUCGUCGAUUAUGAAAGGGAUUAACACUAACAUGUGGUUGCCUCUGUAUCAUAAGGUUCAUAAAGUUUCUUAAUGCCUUGUCUUAUGAAGAAAAUAUAUAAUAACUGAUUUCGUGA
This is a long non-coding RNA of Salvia miltiorrhiza (redroot sage), 1129 nucleotides long. RefSeq lists it as uncharacterized. Lineage: Eukaryota; Viridiplantae; Streptophyta; Magnoliopsida; Lamiales; Lamiaceae. The transcript is spliced from 2 exons. The record is from RefSeq and is a predicted model, not a curated record.